This 468-nucleotide ribosomal RNA is filed under the name uncultured bacterium. Its description in RNAcentral is "partial 16S ribosomal RNA". It matches the Rfam family "Bacterial small subunit ribosomal RNA", at positions 28 to 507 of the family's 1533-position model. The record is from RNAcentral.
GACGAACGCUGGCGGCGUGCUUAACACAUGCAAGUCGAACGGAAAGGCCCUGCUUUUGUGGGGUGCUCGAGUGGCGAACGGGUGAGUAACACGUGAGUAACCUGCCCUUGACUUUGGGAUAACUUCAGGAAACUGGGGCUAAUACCGCAUAGCAGCUCCUGCUGCAUGGUGGGGGUUGGAAAGUUUCGGCGGUUGGGGAUGGACUCGCGGCUUAUCCGCUUGUUGGUGGGGUAGUGGCUUACCAAGGCUUUGACGGGUCGCCGGCCUGAGAGGGUGACCGGCCACAUUGGGACUGAGAGACGGCCCAGAGUCCUACGGGAGGCAGCAGUGGGGAAUAUUGCACAAUGGGCGGAAGCCGGAUGCAGCAACGCCGCGUGCGGGAUGACGGCCUUCGGGUUGUAAACCGCUUUGGCCUGUGACGAAGCGUGAGUGACGGUAAUGGGUAAAGAAGCACCGGCUAACUACGUG